GUUAUACAUGACAGUAGAAUGCAUUUAUGUCCUUUGAUAUUUCAUACAUAGAUGGGAUAUGAUUUCUCAUUUUUCUGAGUGUACAUGUUGUAGAACCACAUUGGUCAUGCAGUCACACAUAUGCAUAAAGCAAUAAUGUCUGUUUCAUUCUACUAUCUUUCCUAUCCCCACAUCCCCUCCCCUCCCCUCCCAUCACUUCCCUCUACCUAAUCUAAGGUAACGCUAUUCUUCCCUAGUGCCCAUCAACUUAUUGUGAAUUCACAUCCACUUAUUAGGGAAAACAUUCGGACUUUGGCUUCGUGGGAUUGGCUUAUUUCACUUAGCAUGAUAUUCUCCAACUCCAACCAUCUACUGGUAAAUUCCAAAAUUUCACUCUUCUUUAAAGCUGAGUAAUAUUCCAUUGAGUAUAGGUACCACAUUUUCUUUAUCCAUUCAUCUAUUGAGGGACACCUCGGUUGGUUCCAUAGUCUAGCUAUUGUGAACUGAGCUGCUAUAAUCAUUGAUGUGGCUGCGUCACUAUAGUAUGCUGAUAACCAUAUUUAUGUGGUUUGUCUCUGUGUCCUCUAUUCUGUACCUUUGGUCUCCAUGUCUAUUUUGGUGUUUGACCACACGGUUGGAGCCUGACCAAGUUGACACAUUAAGUCCUUUGAGUAUAAACCAAGGAGUGGGAAGGGAUAGCUGGGUCAAAUAGUAGUUCUAUUUCCAAUUUUCUGAGGAGUCUCCAUACUGAUUUCCAUAGCAGUUUCACCAACUUGCAGUCCCACCAGCGAUGUCUGGGGGUACCUUUUCCCCACAUCCUCGCCAACAUUUAUUGUUGCCUGUAUUCUUGAUGAUCAUCAUUCUGACAGGGGUGAGAUGAAAUCUCAGAGUAGCUUUGAUUGCUGGAGAUGUUGAACACUGUCUCAUAUAUUUGUUGAUCAGUGGCAUUUCUUCUUCUGGGAGGUGUCUGUUCAGUUCCUUGGCCCAUUUAUUGAUUGGGUUAUUUGUUUUUUGGUGUUCGGUUUUUUGAGUUCUUUAUAUAUCCUAGAGAUUAAUGCUUUAUUGGAGGUGGAUGUGGUAAAGAUUUUCUCCCAAACUGUAGGCUCUCUCCUCACUUUACUGUUUCCUUCGCUGAGAAAACGCUUUUUAAUGUGAAUCCGUCCCAUUUAUUAAUUCUUGAUUUUACUUCUUGAGCUUCAGGAGUCUUGUUCAGGAAGUCAGAGCCUAGGCCGACGUGGUGAAGAUCGGGGCCCAUUUUCUUCUAUUAGACACAGGGUCUCUGUUCUAGUGCCUAAGUCUUUGAUCCACUUUGAGUUGAUUUUUGUGCAGGGUGAGAGAGAGGGGUUUAGUUUCAUUUUGCUACACAUGGAUUUCCAGAUUUUCUUUUCUCCAGUGGAUGUUUUUUGGCACCUUUGUCUAAGGUGACAUCACCAUAUUUAUGUGAUUUGUCUCUGUGUCCUCUAUUCUGUACCUUUGGUCUCCAUGUCUGUUUUGGUGUUUGACCACACGGCUGGAGCCUGACCAAGCUGACACAUUAAAUCAGCACCAGGGCUGUCAACAGAAUAAGCAAGUCCGAGUACAGGAAAGGUGUGGGGUAUGCGGUACCCUCCUCAUCCCUGGCUGCCCCUCGCCCAUGAAGCAUCCAAUUCGCAUCAUUGAACAACACUCUCAUGAGUAUCCCAGGGGACCAUUUGAGCCCCAACAGAUUCACCAGGCCCAUAGUUGAAGCAAAUCCUUCCCAACAGUUUCACCCCUUUGGCUGAUUUCUCAGGGAAUCCCAGGCUCAGCCUCGGCACACACAGAAGUGAACCUGUGCCAGCUGAUGCGGGUGGCCCAGCCCCUCCUCCCCUCCAUCCCGCCGGCUCCAGGCCAAGUUCCCAGUGCUGAAAACCUUAAGCUCCUAAUAAUCCACCUUCAUAAUCCACAAGGCCGACAAAAUCACCUCUGAAUUCUUGGGUGGUGAAGGGUGCCCUUCUACCCUGCAAGUGCUUUGACUUGAUGAAUCAUUAAAGCUCAGCUUUCCACACACCACCCUGUGGCCCCUGGGAAAGGCCCCCUGACCAGCCCUUGGAGACCUGCUUCCAACAAGACCCUCCUGCGAGUGGAGGAGUCCUCAGCCAAGGCCAGGAUCUUUGGAAUGUGCACGCACAGGGCUGGGACUCUGUUUCUGUUGGGAGUGCCAGCCCCGCGAGGUUUCGCGUUUGGGUUAACUGUGGUCACACGAAGGCGGCUGGCUUCAUGCAGAUCAAAGGUGAAGGUUUUGUGGCCUCUUGCAGUUUGUGACAGUUUCUGAGACACUUGUCAGGGGGGCACAAAAGGAAUGUGAGAGAGAGACAGCGAUGGAGAGAACGGAAUGAGAACGAGGCGGCAUCCAAAUCACCAGGAAGGUGCAGACGUGCGUGAGCCGGGGCUUAUCAGGGCGGCCUGUCGGUUUUUGAGGUCACCGAUCCCAGCUCUGCUCAGGAGGUUCGCCAAGUCAGGAGCUGCAGGGAGUCAUCGGGGUUUAUCAGCUCUUCACGUUUGUCACGGAGGCUGGCCCGGGUGGCGCCAGCUCCUGGCUGGCCUUGCGUCCUCUCCAGCCCUCUGCCAGCUCCACCCCAAGAGUCCCAGUCGCAGGCUCACAGGGACUUCAGGGCGGCAGGUGACAUGGACAGGAGCUGAAUUCACCACACCUGGUGUCCCCUCAUGUGGUGAACUCACAGGUCACCUCACAUGAGGACCCCUGGGCACGGGCAUGCUCCACAGGCGCAGAGCUCCGCUUCAGGAGUCAGACGUCCUGCUGGGGCCCUCGGAGCCAUAAUUUUAAAAAGCACCCGUAGUCCCCAAGGUCAUCGUACGUCCAUGCACGCAGUACGCUAGAGCAUCUCCCAGAUAACACGGCCGACUAGAGCUGGCCUGGGGCUAGGGACAAGAUGAGCAAGCAGAGGACCUUGCUCACUCCGGCCACCAGGGGGAGACAAAGCGAGAACAGAAAAUGCCCAAUAAAAACCAGUGAAGCAGCCGGGUGCGGCCCAGGUG
Molecule: long non-coding RNA, 2997 nt
Filed under: Marmota monax (woodchuck)
Lineage: Eukaryota; Metazoa; Chordata; Mammalia; Rodentia; Sciuridae
Source: RNAcentral